This 202-nucleotide microRNA precursor is filed under the name Oryza brachyantha (malo sina). Its description in RNAcentral is "MIR812 microRNA precursor family". It matches the Rfam family "MIR812 microRNA precursor family". The record is from Rfam by way of RNAcentral. Lineage: Eukaryota; Viridiplantae; Streptophyta; Magnoliopsida; Poales; Poaceae.
AAUAAGAUCAUUUUUCAGUUUUUUAUCCAAUAGUUUGACUUUCGUCUUAUUUCAAAUUUUUGUGAUUAGUAUUUUAUUCUUACUAGAUGAUAAAGUAUAAAUAGUACUUUAUGCAUGACUAAUUUUUUAAAGUUUUCUAUAAUUUUUUCAAAUAAGAUAAAUGGUCAAACGUUAGACACGAAAAAUAAAAAAUGAAUUUAUU